UGAGGAACAUGACCUUCGGCGGGGGAUAGCCGGCCCAACGGCCGGGUAAUACCGCGUACGACCACAUGGGGACAUCCCUGAGUGGUGAAAGCAGCAAUGCGCCGAUGGAGUGCCUCGCGGCCUAUCAGCUAGUUGGUGAGGUAACGGCUCACCAAGGCGACGACGGGUAGCUGGUCUGAGAGGGUGUCCCGGCCACACUGGGACUGAGAUACCGGCCCAGACUCCUACGGGAGCAG
RNAcentral lists this ribosomal RNA (236 nucleotides) under uncultured bacterium. Its description in RNAcentral is "partial 16S ribosomal RNA". It matches the Rfam family "Bacterial small subunit ribosomal RNA", at positions 118 to 347 of the family's 1533-position model. The record is from RNAcentral.